UACAGGGGUCUCAAGCGUUGUUCGGAUUCAUUGGGCGUAAAGGGUGCGUAGGCGGCGCGGUAAGUCGGGUGUGAAAUCUCGGGGCUUAACUCCGAAACUGCAUUCGAUACUGCCGUGCUUGAGGACUGGAGAGGAGACUGGAAUUUACGGUGUAGCGGUGAAAUGCGUAGAUAUCGUAAGGAAGACCAGUGGCGAAGGCGGGUCUCUGGACAGUUCCUGACGCUGAGGCACGAAGGUCAGGGGAGCAAACGGG
RNAcentral lists this ribosomal RNA (253 nucleotides) under uncultured bacterium. RNAcentral describes it as "partial 16S ribosomal RNA". It matches the Rfam family "Bacterial small subunit ribosomal RNA", at positions 524 to 776 of the family's 1533-position model. The record is from RNAcentral.